Molecule: ribosomal RNA, 55 nt
Filed under: Solanum melongena (eggplant)
Lineage: Eukaryota; Viridiplantae; Streptophyta; Magnoliopsida; Solanales; Solanaceae
Also listed under: 1 other name
Source: RNAcentral
GCGAGAGUAGUACUAGGAUGCGUGACCCCCUGGGAAGUCCUCGUGUUGCAUCCCU